CAGGUGCCAGACCGGCCAGCACCACAGACACAGCAGCCUGUGACAUUGGGACAAAGAGGAAGCGGCUGUUUCUAUACUCAGUGCUCCGAACAGGAAGCACUGAGCACGGUUUGCAGCCAAACGUGC
Molecule: small nucleolar RNA, 126 nt
Organism: Suricata suricatta (meerkat)
Lineage: Eukaryota; Metazoa; Chordata; Mammalia; Carnivora; Herpestidae
Source: Ensembl